UAUACUCAAACUAUGGAAUGACUUGAGUUUCUUGGUCUGACUUGGGGAUCUAAGUUGUGAAGAGAGGAAGCAUUUCUUUUUUCUUUUUCAGGAAAGGAAGUUUUAAAACUUAGAGACUUUGGGAAUGGGUAUACUAAUUUUCUAAGGCUGCCACAACAAAGUACCAAAGACUGGGUGGCUUAAACAACAAAAUUUUCACAAUUCUGAAGGCUACAAGUCCAAGAAUUGGAAGGAUAAAGCAUAGAAAUCCUCGAAAGAACAUGUCUGAGAAGGAAGUGAACACAUAAAACAGCAAGAAUGAAAUACAAAUAAAGAUGGAUUCCUGGACCUAGCUGUACCUGAAGAAGGAGUAUAUGGAAUGAGGAAAGCAGAGGACCAAAUCUCAAGUUCUGGGCAACGUCAAUAUCAACUUUGAAGAGGAGAGAGAGAUUAGAAGAACUGAUGAAGUAUCCCAAGUGAAGAGAUGGGUCAGAGAGAUGGAAAAGAGGAGAGCGAUGCUUCUGACCACACCUGAGGACCAUGCAUGUUCUUUCCUGAAGUGUUUCUUGAAUUAGGAAGCUAAAAGUCUCCUUUGAGAAUCACUUUCAAUUAUCCACAGAAUUGAUCUGAGAGGCACACAGAUUCACCUAAAACAAGAACAGUUCUUAGGUUGGAUAACUCAAGUCAGGAAUGGUGGUACUGUUUCAAGAUAAAGUAAGCACAAUGUCAAACUUCAAGUAUAGCAUUGAAUAAUCCAGAGAGGUCAGGAUGCUGAGGAGAGACAGUACUCAUUGGAGUUGGUAGCGUGUACCUCCUAAGCUGUUUCAAGGAAUGAUAAGAAAGAAAUAAUUUACAAUAGGUCUGGGGACCGUUAGGAAAAAAAAAUAGAGAGUAGAAACUAAGUGUGGAUUUCUCUUUACUAAAAAAGAAGAGACAGAAAGAAAGGGCAGGGUUUGCACAGUCUGAGGAAGUGUGUGUGUGUG
Molecule: non-coding RNA, 962 nt
Organism: Ictidomys tridecemlineatus (thirteen-lined ground squirrel)
Lineage: Eukaryota; Metazoa; Chordata; Mammalia; Rodentia; Sciuridae
Source: RefSeq, a predicted model, not a curated record